GCAUUCCCUUCCGUCUGAAAGAAAACUGCUUGCCGAAUCCGUUUAAGAGCCUUUAGUUUUCUCAGGCCGUCAGGUAUUUGAGGCCGAGAAGGAGCGUUUUGUUCUUGAAACAAUGGACUAAAUGCAAAGUUAUACUCGCAAUGGGAUACUUAGUUUGAGCUAUUCCCCCCGGGAAAUUUUCUUUUGUUUUGCUUUGUUUUUAAGAAACUUACUGAAUCCUAAAGCCUUAAUCUCGGCUACCCUGGUUUGCCUUACAGUUGCAGUUAGACCGAGCCGUAUCAGACCACACCCAGUGAUGCUGUGCCGUAGCCACGGCGGAGCACUGUGUAUCCCCCGCUUCAGCGCCCCAGCAAGCCGCAGUUGCCGGCCGGAAGCAUUGUGUAGUGCCCCUUGUUUCAGUCUUGGCAGAGAAAAAGGAGCCAGAGGAGUAACUAGUGUUUUCAGCCCUAAAUCCCUUCUGGCUCCAAUCCUGCACCUUCUUUCCAUGAACUCCGCCCCCCUCCUCACCAAGUACGCAUUUAGGACAGGAGAGUUUAUUUUUUGCUUCAUCCAAGAAAAGUUCUCAGCAUCCUAGAAUCAUGUAUCGCAUCUGUCCGAUAAGACUGGACUGAAAUGGCUGUAAUGAAUUAAUUUUUUAAAGAGAUGGUUGCGAGCCCUUCUUCUAAAGUCUGUAUCCACUAAAUCCUGUAUUCACCAAAUAUUCAGAAUCCAAAAUGUAAAUUUAAAGCAUAAAAUGAUUGCAAGUAAAGAAAAAAAAGAAACCAGUUGGGGGGUAGAACGAGGAAAGCAAAUCUGUCAGAGCGGAAAAAUCAAAGAAGAGACAGUAGGCUGGAGCUCUGAGACUUCAAGCCAGUUUUAUGGACCAACAGAUUGGCCAGGAGUCGGGAGAGAGCUCAGGUUCUCCGCUGCUUAGGGAGCAGUUAGUGAUGUAGGAAAAGGGGUAGUUUCUAUUUUCAGCACAGGUUUGUUCUUGGGCUAGGUCAGUAUUCAAGGGUUAGGGGGAGGCAGUUUCCUUAGGAAUGUAAGUAAUGGUUUUGGGUGGGGGGUAGAGGGCAGUUGUAAAAGAACAUCGUCUGAUGAAUGACUCUUUAACUGGUCUCCAAGGCAGCUCAUUGUUCCCCAGGGGAUCAGCCUUCUAGAUUUUAAGUCUGAUUAGAGUUUAGGUGGUGCAUAGCAGGUCAUGUACGAUUCCCCACCUAAGAAAAUCCAUGUAGAUAAAUGAAGUUUCUAUUUCUGCAGCAUAAUGGGAAAUUGACUGGACAUGGAUUUGCACCAGAUCUGUGGGAAAAGCCAGACUUAAAAAUAUGUGUUUAAUGACAUCUAUGAAAUAAACUCUGUGGGAUAGAGGGGUUUUAAAGAGACAGGCAUUCAUAUUUCAAAGCAUCUGAAAUGGAAAUGUGAAAGUUUUCUAUUCCUGAUGAUAGAGAUAGACAUGACUCACAACAUUCAGUCAAAAUAGGAACCUUGAAAUAUUAAGGGCAGGUACUCAGUUUAAUUUUUUAAAUUAACUGUUUCUCGUGUGAGAAGUAACUAGGAUCUAGUGCGCUCCAGAGUGAACUGCAACAGGAAUUUACAUAAGAAUGACAAAUAAUUUUCUAAGGAAACCUGGAUAACAGCUUGUGGGUAAAAAAGUACAGAGAGAAGGCAUACAGGCCAAGGGACAAUGUUCAUCUGUCCGUUGGACAUUGAUAUGCUGCCUCGGAUGGACCGUUUAAGUUUAUAUCUGCUGGGGAUGGAGAGCUUCUUAUAUUCACAGUCAGGCAGCUGGAAUAAUCUGUCCUAAGUCUGUAACUCUUGGGAAUGUAUACAGACCCACUUAGGGUCCAAAAGACAGAUAUUGGAGGAGCCGAUUCCUCUAAUCGUUGUGUGGGAGUUGCUACCAAGGGAUCUGAGUCUGCUGAGCUUGGAGGAAUAUUCCCAGCACCAUGGUAAGUUCCAGUAGGGGCACUACUUGACCAUAUAGCAUUUUGGGGGGAAUUAGAAAAAAGAUACUCUUUCAUCAAGGCCAGUGGUUCUCAACCAGGGAUAAUUUUGCACCCCUAGAGGACAUUUGGCAAUGUCUGGAAAUAUGAAUGUCAGGACUGAGAAGGAUGGCCCUUGUAGCUAUUGAGUAGAGGAUAGAAAUGCUGCUAAACAUCCUAUAAUGCACAGGGCAGCUAUUGAUAAUUCUUAAAGAAUUAUCAAGAUUAAAAUGUCAGUAAUGCCAAAGUUGCAAGAUCCUACACUUGUAACAUGUAGCCCUGAAUUAGGAUUUUUGUCUCCUUUCACUCUGUGUUCCCAGUGUAAGGCAUAACUGUGCAAAUACUACUGUCCUCUCUGGGCUUAGAGGAAGGUUGAAAAUGGAAUCAACAGGGAGGUUUUACAGGCUUUUAAGAGGAGGAUUCUUCAGUAGAAAAGACUGUCAAGAAGAUUGUUGUAUAAUAGAGACAGUAUACAAGCACAUAAACAUAUAAACAUACUAUUACAAAUUGUAAUAAGUGCUAUGAAGGUGUAUUAGUUUGGCUCCUGCAGGAAGCUGAUGGUAAGAUGGAAUUCGGAAUACAAGAGACUUGUUGAGAGAUAUGGCCUGUGAAAGUUUAAGGGGGAGGAAAAAGAAUUGGGUCUAGUAAAUCCUUAGGCUUUAAUGCAGAUCUGCCAUUUGUGAAAGAAAAAAGGAGUAGGAAGCAGAAUUGGGCCUGGUAAAUCUUUAGGCUUUGAUGCAGAUCUGCCAUUUGUGAAAGAAAAAAGGAGUAGGAAGCAGAAUUGGGCAGAGGGAAGGAACCAAAGAUUGCAAUACAGAUUGACAAAGAAUUGGCUAAUGCAAUAGGGAGUAUGGAGGUAGCCCAUCAGAGGAGGUCUGCAGUGGGCAGAAACCAGAAAUGGGCAGGCCCUGAAAUCCAUCAUGCUGGAGGUGGGAAGAACAUGCCUUGCCUCAAAGGCUUAAUUUUUUUUUUAGUUGACAUAUAACAAUGUAUUAGUUUCAAGUAUAGAACAUAAUGAUUUGAUAUAUAUAUGUAUAUAUAUAUAUCUAGACAAUGUCUAGUUAACAUCUGUUACUGCACAUAGGUACAAUUUUGUUUUUCUUGUGAUGAUAAUUUUUAAGAUUUACCAUCUUAGCAACUUUCCAAUAUAUAAUUUAACAUUUUUAACUAUAGUCAUUAUGCUGUGCAAUACACAUCUAGAACUUAUUUAUAACUGAAAUUUUAUGCAUUUUGACCACCUCUUCCUUUUGUCCACCUUCAACCCACACCUCUGGCAACCACCAAUCUGUUCUCUUUAUCUAUGAGUUCAAUUCCUUUUUUUUUUUUUUUUAAGAUUUCAGUAUUGUGAGAUCAUACAGUGUUUGCCUUUCUCUGACUUAUUUCGCUGACCAUAAUGUGCUCCAGCCCAGCCAUGUUGUUGCAAAUGUCAAGAUUUCCUUCUCUUUGACAGCUGAAUAAUAUUCCAUUUUAUAUAUACCUCACACUUUGUUUAUUCACUUAUCCACAGUGGACACAAAGGUUGGCUUUAUGUCUUGGCUAUUGAAAAUGAUAUUGUGGUCUGUGCUUGGGAUGGAAAAAUUGUUUUCAGACUUAGAGUGGGGUGAAAGAAGGAAAAGUUUAUUGAGAAAAGAAACUGCUCUUGCAGUGGGAAGACUUCCUGAUAAUCAGGGAGAGCUGACUCUGAGCAGGUGUCAUGUCUGUUUUUAUAGCCCAAGGUCAAAGGAAAGAGGAGGUCUUACUCUACACUUGUUGGUUGGUUACCUCUAAUGCCCUUAUGGGGAUCAGGCGAGGACUGGGCCAAAUACCUUUCCUAGUAGGAGGCAGGAAGGAGUGGGCAGGAUUGUUCAGGAGAGGCUGGAGAACUCUGCAACAGUUGUAAUGGGGUGGAAGGAGCAAUAAUUGGUAAUUUUAUCCUGGCAACAUUGGUAUCCCGAGACUCUCUUUGAGUCUAUCUUGUUGGAAAGGCCUUGAAGCCCACAGAUAAUGCCACAGUGAACAUGGAGAUACAGAUAUCUUUUCAAGUUAGCCUUUUUUUCUUUAGUUAGAAACAGGCAGUGGAGUUUCUGGAUCAUGUGGUAGUUCUGCUUUUAAUUUUUUAAGGAGUCUCCAUACAGUUUUCUAAAGUGGCUCCACCAAUUUACAUUCCUACCAGAAAUACACAAGAGUUCCUCUUUCUCCACAUACUUGUCAAUACUUGUUAUCUCUUGUUUUUGUUGAACCCCUAGUAUCAUCAUGGAUACUAGUUGGGUUCGUUACCCCUGCAUCACAAUGGGAACUCCUCUUGUCUUUUCAAAUUACAGCCAUUUUAGCAGGUGUGAAGUAGUAGCUCAUUGUUUUGAUUGGCAUUUCCCUAAGGAUUAGUACUUUUGAGCACCUUUUCCUAUACCUCUUGGCCAUUUGUAUGUCUUCUGUGGAAAAAUUUCUCUUCAGUUUCUCUACCCAUUUUUACAUCAGAUUGUUGUUCUCCUGUUGAGUUGUAUGAGUUCUUAGUACAUUGUGGAUAUUAGCCCUUUAUAAAGUAUAUGAUUUAUAAGUACUUUCUCCCAUUCUGUAGGUUUUUUUUUUUCAUUUAAUUGAUGGUUUCCUUUGAUCUGAAAAAGCUUUUUAGUUUGAUGUUUGUUUAUUUUUACAUUUGCUGCCUUCACUUUUGGUGUCAAAUCCAAAAAAUCAUUGUGAAGACCAGUGUCAAGGAGCUUAUUGCCUAUGUUUUCUUUUAGAAGUUUUAUGGUUUCUUGUUUGUUCAAGUCUUUAAUUAUUUUGAAUUAAUUGUGUAUAGUGUAAGAUAGUGGUCCACUUUCAUUCUUUUACAUGUGGCUGUCCAGUUUGCUCAACAAUAUUUAUUUAGGUCAAAGGUUUUAACAGAUCCUGAAAAAAAAGUGCAGUUAGAGUCUGUCAGGUAGCUGUACUCUUCAUAGAGUCGUGACACUCUUUCAUGAAAAGAGAUUAGAAUCACACAUUUCCGUGACUGUCACCAGAGGAUAAUUAAAAGUGUAUGAGAGGAGUUCCUGUCAUGGCUCAGUGGUUAAGGAAUCCCACUAGGAACCAUGAGGUUUCGGGUUCGAUCCUCGGCCUGCUCAGUGGGUUAAAAGAUCCGGCGUUGCUGUGGCUGUGGUGUAGGCCAGCAGCUACCGCUCUGAUUAGAUCCCUAGCCUGGGAAACUCCAUAUGCCGCAGGAACGGCCCUGGAAAAAGGCAAAAAGACCAAAAAAGAAAAGUGUAUAAGAAAAGAAAUUUAUUUUCAAUGGCUUUUAAUUUUUUUGUUGCAAUCCUCAGUAAGACAUGUGUUCUACAUUUUAACCUAAUAAAUACAAAAAUAUAUAUAACUAAAAAAAAGAGAGUUUUUAAAACAUUACCU
This 5315-nucleotide long non-coding RNA is filed under the name Sus scrofa (pig). RNAcentral describes it as "lncRNA (ENSSSCG00000055454.1)". Lineage: Eukaryota; Metazoa; Chordata; Mammalia; Artiodactyla; Suidae. The record is from RNAcentral.